RNAcentral lists this ribosomal RNA (253 nucleotides) under uncultured bacterium. RNAcentral's name for it is "partial 16S ribosomal RNA". It matches the Rfam family "Bacterial small subunit ribosomal RNA", at positions 524 to 776 of the family's 1533-position model. The record is from RNAcentral.
UACGGGGGGGGUAAGCGUUGUUCGGAAUUACUGGGCGUAAAGGGCUCGUAGGCGGCCAACUAAGUCAUACGUGAAAUCCCUCAGCUUAACUGGGGAACUGCGUGUGAUACUGGAUGGCUUGGAUUUGGGAGAGGGAUGCGGAAUUCCAGGUGUAGCGGUGAAAUGCGUAGAUACCUGGAGGAACACCGGUGGCGAAGGCGGCAUCCUGGACCAAUAUUGACGCUGAGGAGCGAAAGCCAGGGGAGCAAACGGG